Molecule: long non-coding RNA, 2279 nt
Filed under: Rattus norvegicus (Norway rat)
Lineage: Eukaryota; Metazoa; Chordata; Mammalia; Rodentia; Muridae
Description: partial HAfT25 cufflinks 00054567
Source: RNAcentral
UCGGGAUUCUGUAACCAGUAUGACAGUGGAAUAAUGGCUCCUUUAUCACUAGGUUUAUAUCCUGGUGAAAAAAUGCUAACAUUUAGUCUACAACAAAAUGACUUAGGGACAGCAAAGAAGGAGAGCACACUUUAGAGGUUGGGCACAGAAGGCCUGACUGGAAAUUGACAUCCAAAUACUGAUCAGAAUAUAAUGAGGACAGAGCAGAGAGUUAUGCGGGAAAGAAUUUUCUAGAAAAGGGAGUUGCUUCAUGGAAAGACUGAGGCCAGAGUGUACUCAGGGAAUCUGUGACAUAAGAAAGCCAGGCGGAGAGUAGUGUGAACAAGCAAGAAAUUGGCAGGAAAAAAUAAGCCACCACCCACACACAGAACACUGUAUGAAUCUAGAGAUUUUACUCUAAGUAAGAUAGAAUUUCAGAGGACACUUGUGGCUGAAGAAUCCCCAUCAUUUGGUGCUCACUUUUAAAGGAUCCUAGCUGCUGAAGAAGGAAGGUAGGUCAGACAGAAGCAGGAAGGUUGGGUAGGAGAGUGGUUCAAAGGCAAGGCCUCCUUUCCUUGGGUGUUUCUGAAAGAAAGGAUAAGUGAAUCGGAAGGGCCCACAUUCAACAGGAACUUUCCAAAUGUGAGGUAGGAUUCUUUGGCAGAAUUUUUUUUUUAAAUGGGCACACAUACUAGUUGGUUCUUUAAUCCCAUGAUCAAGAACUAUUUUGAAAUAAUGCCUACUCGCUGGUCGAUUUCUAGUGACCUCUCUGGAGCCUGGCCAUUUGGUGUAACAGAAAGUAACAUCCCAAAUCACACCUGCUGCUUCACACAUGCUCAGCAGUCUGGUUCCUCGCUACACAGAAAGGGCAGAGAGCCCAAGCACUACUCUUCCUCCCAUCCCUCUACCUCUGAUGAGAAAGAGGAGAGGAGAUGCAAAAGAAAAGGCCACCAGAUGGAAAGACCCUUACAAAAAUGAGCUUCAAAAAUUCUAGAGCCUUCCAGAAGCCUUGUCCAGAGAGACUUGAAUCUAUUUGCAUGAGUUGCUUUGGGUAUUUUGGUCAUCUACUGACAUGAUUUGGUGGUAGCAACCCCUUCUUUUUCACAAGCCAGCAUUCACUAAGAGGUCUUUUGUGUCAAAAAGAAACUACUAGUGUGGGUGUUUUGAGACAGUUUGGGGGGGCAUUUCAUGCUCCAUGGGCCCCAGUAGUGAAGGGGUCAAGGUUCUGCUUAAAGACCACAGAGGCUUGAGGAUGGAUCAAGAAGCAAAAGAAAGCCUACAAACAUGGCUGCUUUUCUUCUCAGUCCAUUUGCCAACACCUUCCACAUCCGCUUACUGUGAGUCCGGCAAUGUUCCAACCUUUUUGUAAAUAUUUAGUCAGUUAAUAAGAUUGACAAUCAUGACUUCAAUAGUGCCACUGUCCCUCAUUCAGGGUUCAAUUUACAUUUAUUGAGCAUUACACAGAUGAGCAAAGGAAUUCAUGAAGAAGCUAAGACACUUAUCUGCGGUUCCAUAGAUUAUUUUAGGUUGGAACCCCUGGAGCUCUGGCUGCCCCUUGCUGUGCAGAUAAUUUGAAUAUCUAUUAGAAAUGCUUUUAGCUACAAGUAAGAGACUGCUCAAAAUAAACAAAUGUAAACAAUCAGGAAUUUUCACCAAACAAGAAAUCUGGAGGUGGUCUUAGCCCCAGAUGAUGGACUAUCCCAUCAAUAAUUCUGUCAAGGAUCCAGCUUCUGUUCUUCCAUUCUGGUUUCCAGUUGUGUGGUUUAUCAUCACCUCAUAGGUUUAACAUAGCGAUGGCCUGCACCUCCAGGUGACUUUAAUCCAAAUGUCAGGAGACCAAGACAAGAGGAUCCGUGUGGCUUUCUGUCCAGCCAGCAAAACUAAUUGACAAAUUCCAAGCCAAUGGGAAACCUGAGAACCCUGGAGAAAGUAUUGAAUAUGGUGGCAGAUGCCUAAGCAGGGGAGGGAAAAUGCCUUCUUCACUCUUCUCCAGGUUUCUAGGCCCCUUUCCCAGUUUCAGGAAUCUUCUAUGUCUUCUGCAAAGAGCAUCUCGUUCUCUUAGGGACAAUAUCAUGGCCGGAUCUAUCACGUGAGCAAGUCUGUCUCCUACCAGCUCUGGAGAAAUCAGCUGUCUUAGAGAAUUGCCUCAAACAUGAAAUGAAGAGGUCUAUCCUUGCUCUUUAUCAUCUGUGUGACAUCCGCUGAGUUACUUGGCAUCUCUUAAAUCAAUGCUUCUCACCUCGGCUUCUCUGGAUAUCAGAAUGAUCGGUGAGUGCCAUGAGGUCCAGCUUUCCGAGAAG